GUGGCCGUAGCUCAACCGGUUAGAGCGCUUGGCUGUGGCCCAGGAGGUUGGGGGUUCGAGCCCCCUCGGCCACC
RNAcentral lists this transfer RNA (74 nucleotides) under Elusimicrobiota bacterium. RNAcentral's name for it is "Elusimicrobia bacterium (sediment metagenome) tRNA-His". It matches the Rfam family "tRNA". Rfam says of the family: Transfer RNA (tRNA) molecules are approximately 80 nucleotides in length. Their secondary structure includes four short double-helical elements and three loops (D, anti-codon, and T loops). Lineage: Bacteria; Pseudomonadati; Elusimicrobiota. The record is from RNAcentral.